Molecule: ribosomal RNA, 440 nt
Filed under: uncultured bacterium
Lineage: Bacteria
Description: partial 16S ribosomal RNA
Rfam family: Bacterial small subunit ribosomal RNA
Source: RNAcentral
CCUACGGGAGGUAGCAGUGGGGAAUAUUGCACAAUGGGGGAAACACUGAUGCAGCGACGCCGCGUGAGUGAAGAAGGAUUUGGGUAUGUAAAGCUCUAUCAGCAGGGGAGAAAAUAACGGUACCUGUUUAAGAAGCCGCGGCUAACUACGUGACAGCAGCCGCGGUAAUACGUAGGGGGCAAGCGUUAUCCGGAUUUACUGGGUGUAAAGGGAGCGUAGAGGGAAGCACAAGUCUGGAGUGAAAUGCCCGGGCUUAACCCCGGAACUGCGUUGGAAACUGUGCAGCUAGAGUGCAGGAGAGGUAAGUGGAAUGCCCAGUGUAGCGGUGAAAUGCGUAGAUAUCAGGAGGAACACCAGUGGCGAAGGCGGCUUACUGGACUGUAACUGACGUUGAGGCUCGAAAGCGUGGGGAGCAAACAGGAUUAGAUACCCUGGUAGUC